RNAcentral lists this ribosomal RNA (326 nucleotides) under uncultured eukaryote. Its description in RNAcentral is "partial 18S ribosomal RNA". It matches the Rfam family "Eukaryotic small subunit ribosomal RNA", at positions 1470 to 1796 of the family's 1831-position model. The record is from RNAcentral.
CCCUUAGAUGUCCUGGGCCGCACGCGCGUUACACUGAUGCAUUCAACGAGCUUAUAACCUUGGCCGAGAGGCCUGGGCAAUCUUGUUAACGUGCAUCGUGAUAGGGAUAGAUUAUUGAAAUUAUUAAUCUUGAACGAGGAAUUCCUAGUAAACGCAGAUCAUCAAUCUGCAUUGAUUACGUCCCUGCCCUUUGUACACACCGCCCGUCGCACCUACCGAUUGAGUGGUCCGGUGAAUAAUUCGGACUGAGGAUUUAGGCAGUUUCUGUCUUUAUCUUCGGGAAGUCUAGUGAACCUUAUCACUUAGAGGAAGGAGAAGUCGUAACA